This 500-nucleotide ribosomal RNA is filed under the name Priestia aryabhattai. RNAcentral describes it as "bacterial SSU rRNA". It matches the Rfam family "Bacterial small subunit ribosomal RNA", at positions 349 to 840 of the family's 1533-position model. The record is from RNAcentral. Lineage: Bacteria; Bacillati; Bacillota; Bacilli; Caryophanales; Bacillaceae.
CAGCAGUAGGGAAUCUUCCGCAAUGGACGAAAGUCUGACGGAGCAACGCCGCGUGAGUGAUGAAGGCUUUCGGGUCGUAAAACUCUGUUGUUAGGGAAGAACAAGUACGAGAGUAACUGCUYGUACCUUGACGGUACCUAACCAGAAAGCCACGGCUAACUACGUGCCAGCAGCCGCGGUAAUACGUAGGUGGCRAGCGUUAUCCGGAAUUAUUGGGCGUAAAGCGCGCGCAGGCGGUUUCUUAAGUCUGAUGUGAAAGCCCACGGCUCAACCGUGGAGGGUCAUUGGAAACUGGGGAACUUGAGUGCAGAAGAGAAAAGCGGAAUUCCACGUGUAGCGGUGAAAUGCGUAGAGAUGUGGAGGAACACCAGUGGCGAAGGCGGCUUUUUGGUCUGUAACUGACGCUGAGGCGCGAAAGCGUGGGGAGCAAACAGGAUUAGAUACCCUGGUAGUCCACGCCGUAAACGAUGAGUGCUAAGUGUUAGAGGGUUUCCGCCCUU